GCUACUGUGGGCUCACUGCCUAUGGGUUGUCCUGCUCUGCAAGGAACAGCUACCUUGCUGCCACUGCUGCUUCAAUAAACCUGCUUUCUUCCACCACAGGCUCGCUCUUCAGUUCUUUCCUGAGCAAAGUUAAGAACCCUCCCGGGCUAAGCCCCAAUUUUGGAGCUUGCCUGCCCUGCAUCAGUAGAAUGGGCUAACUACUUAUGGUGCACUCAGGCUAAAGAGGCUGAUGCUUGCAGGGCAGUAUUCACAGAGCACACGGUAGUUCACGGGAUGCCUCUCACCCUUGACUCAGUGCUUAAGAAAGGAGGGAAAAUGGUGAACAUGAUCAAAUCAUGGCCAUUGCCUAUUCAUCUUUUCAGUGUUGUAUGGAGGAAUAGGCAAGUAGGAGAUUGCUUUUCACAUUAAUGUCAAAGAGAAAGAUAGUUACUUGGAACUUAAAAAAAUUAAUUGUGAUAAAAUAUACAUAACAUAAAAUUUACCAUCUUAACCAUUUUUAAGUAUAGCCAAUCUCAAGAGCUCUUUCUAUCUUGUAAAACUGAAACCCUAUACCCAUUAAACAACUCCCAAUUCUCCCCUUUCCCUAACUCCUGGCAACCACAAUUCUUUCUGUCUCUAUGAAUUUGACUGCUUUGGCAUGUCAUAGAAAUAGACUCAUACAGCAUUUGUCUUUUUGCGACUGGCAUAUUUUGCUUAGCAUAAUGUCCUCAAGGUUCACCCAUGUGGUAGCAUGUGUCAGAAUUCCUCUCCUUUUGAAGGCUGAAUAAUAUUCCAUUGUGUGUAUAUACCACGUUUUGUUUAUCCAUUUGCCCAUCAAUGGGCAUUUGGGUUGCUUUUUUUGCCUCUCAUGAAUGAUGAAUAUGGGCGCACAAAUAUCUCUUCAAGACCAUGCUUUCAAUUCUCUUGGGUAUACACCCAGAAGUGGAAUUGCUGAAUCAUAUGGU
This 944-nucleotide long non-coding RNA is filed under the name Homo sapiens (human). RNAcentral describes it as "non-protein coding lnc-ITGAX-5:1". Lineage: Eukaryota; Metazoa; Chordata; Mammalia; Primates; Hominidae. The record is from RNAcentral.